Molecule: ribosomal RNA, 406 nt
Filed under: uncultured bacterium
Lineage: Bacteria
Description: bacterial SSU rRNA
Rfam family: Bacterial small subunit ribosomal RNA
Source: RNAcentral
UGGGGAAUAUUGGGCAAUGGGCGCAAGCCUGACCCAGCAACGCCGCGUGAAGGAAGAAGGCUUUCGGGUUGUAAACUUCUUUUAAGAGGGAAGAGCAGAAGACGGUACCUCUUGAAUAAGCCACGGCUAACUACGUGCCAGCAGCCGCGGUAAUACGUAGGUGGCAAGCGUUGUCCGGAUUUACUGGGUGUAAAGGGCGUGCAGCCGGGAGUGCAAGUCAGAUGUGAAAUCCCGCGGCUCAACCGCGGAACUGCAUUUGAAACUGUGCUUCUUGAGUACUGGAGAGGCAGACGGAAUUCCUAGUGUAGCGGUGAAAUGCGUAGAUAUUAGGAGGAACACCAGUGGCGAAGGCGGUCUGCUGGACAGCAACUGACGGUGAGGCGCGAAAGCGUGGGGAGCAAACAGG